UGCUUCUGUGGCUUGGGAACUCCGCUGUGGACAGGUAUGUGCGGCCGUAGGUGAGUAGCUUUCGCAGGUCUCGACUUCACACCUAGUAGUAUGGAGACGAGAUCAUCCACGAAGCACGAGGGUGAAUGUGCAAGUGGUUUUGCUGAUCAGAAUACUCAGCGAAGGUUGUGAUGUUUAUCCUGAUCUGAGCGCAAGGUAACUUGAAGCAGCAGCUGAUUCUGAAUUGUAUGCCUGGCUGGACGGGAUACGGCGGUGGCUAUCUACAUGUUGGCCUGUGUGCCAUUCGAACGCCCAAAGAAAACCCGCAUCAGAGGAAGGGCGGCUCAACAGUACAAGGAUCAGGCAAUGAGAUGGCUCGUAGAAGGAGCAAGUGCCAAGAACAGAGCAACUCACUCAACUUUUAGUAUGCUAGUCCCUGUAUAUAUGGUUAUAGUCAACAUGUACA
Panicum hallii is the source of this 445-nucleotide long non-coding RNA. RefSeq lists it as uncharacterized. NCBI's taxonomy places the organism in Eukaryota, Viridiplantae, Streptophyta, Magnoliopsida, Poales, Poaceae. The record is from RefSeq and is a predicted model, not a curated record. The transcript has 3 exons.